GCAAACACCCGACGUUGACACAACGUUGGAUCAACGUUGAAAAUUGGUCGCGACGUCGGCGACCUUCACACAACGUCAAACCAACGUUGAAACCCCGACGUCUAACAAACGUUUCAUUUUGACGUCGACUCGACGUCGGAUUUUGGUCGGUAAUCUGACAAUUGGUAAAUUUAAUUUAUAAAACCAAUACAUAUAAAUAUAAGCAUAAAGAGUGAGAAUUUUAAGUUUCUUUAGAAAGGGAAAAUUAUAAAUUUAUUUGCCUAAUCAAAACAACAACAGUGUCAUGUGGGUGGCUACCGUACGAUAUUCGAUAGGUGGCGCUCGGUAAACGGAUAGCCGCAGAUCAGUAUAAUAUAUAUUUGCUCUAUUUUCUUUUUAAUAAUAACUUAUCUCCUCGAAUUAGUCAAAGAAGUGUUUAAAUAAUUAAAAAUGAAGUUGUAACCAUUUUUGUGGGCUUCAUUUUAUAGUGGUUUUAUAGUGGUAAAUAAUCUAGUAAAUUCGAAUUGGAGUCUUAUCGGAUUUGAAAUUCAAUUGUAUUGACGGACAAAAACGACGGGUUGACAGCCAAAGUUGUAUAUUCCAAACAAAUAGAAAAAGUGAAUAUCAGGGAUUGUGAAAAUUAUGACAAUUCAACAACUGUCGAAAGUUCAGAGGAGGAAGAUGAAAUUAUUAAGAGGAAAAGAAGAAAAAAAAACACACAAGAUUUGAGACAGAUAGUGUGAAUGAUGAUAUCUCAUGUUGGAGAUGGUAAAGGUUCAGAUUAUGAUAUGCUUAAACUUUAAAGUAUGCCCCAGCUCGCCAUAGUGGAGGUGGACAAAAGAAGAAUGCUAAUUUAGAUAUAUGAACAUUGCUAUUUGUAGUAAUAUCAAAAUAUUCACAAUAUUGUUCCAUUCAACAUUCAGAUAAAAAGUACAAAGAAAAAUAAACAAUCAGUGAGUUGGAUAGAUGAGUGGAAAAUCGCUUAGGGUGAUCGAUUCAGUCGGAAAUAAGCCUUGGUGAUAUAAGAAAAACAUGCAUGAAUGUUAACCAUAAAAAAUGUCAGUGUUAAUGUUUAUGAAGAAUUUUGUAUAUCUAAAACAUGUUUUUUUUAAUACAUGAAGCGUUAUUUACGUACAUACUGUCAAGUUUAAUAGUUUCAAAAUACAUUAAUAUGUUAAUGUUACAUUUGUUAUAGUACCACAUUUAUUGUUUUGUACAUGUAAUUCGAAUUGAAAAUAAAUUGUUAAAUUUAUGAGAAUGCUUAUUUGUUUACCAUACUAAUGAGCUUAAAAUGAAAAAAAUCAUAUUCCAAAAAGUUUGAAAUGAGGUUAAAUCAUGGUCAGAUAAGGUUAGAUUAUGGUCAGAUAAUGGUCAGAAAAGGUUGGAUUAUGGUCAGAUAAUGGUCAGAAAAGGUUGGAUUAUGGUCAGAUAAUGGUCAGAAAAGGUUGGAUUAUAUCCAAAUAAUGGUCAGAAAAGGUUGGAUUAUGGUCAGAUAAGGUUGGAUAUCGGUCAUUUUAUGACGUUGUAUAGACGUCGGAUUCUGACGUCUAAAAAAAUUUCAAAUCCAACCUUCUGCCAACGUUUACCCAACGUCAGGGUCUAACGUCAGUACAACGUUGGUACAACGUCUUUUGUUU
This is a long non-coding RNA of Ruditapes philippinarum (Manila clam), 1616 nucleotides long. RefSeq lists it as uncharacterized. NCBI's taxonomy places the organism in Eukaryota, Metazoa, Mollusca, Bivalvia, Venerida, Veneridae. The record is from RefSeq and is a predicted model, not a curated record. The transcript has 3 exons.